Molecule: small nuclear RNA, 273 nt
Filed under: Jaculus jaculus (lesser Egyptian jerboa)
Lineage: Eukaryota; Metazoa; Chordata; Mammalia; Rodentia; Dipodidae
Description: 7SK RNA (ENSJJAG00000005444.1)
Rfam family: 7SK RNA
About the family: 7SK was discovered as an abundant small nuclear RNA in the mid-70s but a possible function has only recently been suggested. Two independent studies have found that 7SK RNA binds the CDK9/cyclin T complex (known as elongation factor P-TEFb).
Source: Rfam by way of RNAcentral
AGAUAGCAGAGUGAUCUAACUGCAACAUCUGUUACCACAUAGAUUGCCAACAUUGAUUCAGUGCCAUUGGCUAACUCGGCAGGUGUCUCCUUUCCCCUUCAUCAUUCAUGUGCCUCCCUCCUGAAACUGUGUCCUGGAUUGGAGGAUGGACUUCCCUGGUCAAGAGCAAGUGUUUUUUGAUCAGGGCCAGACAAAUAGCUUAUCCCUAUCCACUACACACACCCAAAAUAACCUGUAAGCAAGCUGUCUAGAAUACCAAGAGGGGCUUUUCUU